Molecule: long non-coding RNA, 228 nt
Organism: Dromiciops gliroides (monito del monte)
Lineage: Eukaryota; Metazoa; Chordata; Mammalia; Microbiotheria; Microbiotheriidae
Exons: 3
Source: RefSeq, a predicted model, not a curated record
UGGCCGUGUACAUAGGCCUCAUGAACAAGGCGGCCUGGAGCCGAGCUUUGAAGAAGCUUUUAACUAGGUUUCUGAAGAGUCUUGUGAGAGAGGAAAAAGGUCAGAGGCAGCGUCAAUACUGCUUCGACAAGGACGACUCUUUGGAAUGCCAGGGCUAAUGGACCCAAACUGAUGACCUCCUCCAUGAAGUUUUCCUUAUCACCUCAGGAAGUGAACUUCUCUGACCUG